AUGCUGCAGAAGAAGAGAUCCGUCUGGACGAUGGUGCUGCGGGUGGUCAUGGUGCUCGACCUACUUGGCCUCAUGGGUUCCUACGCAGCCGGGACCUGCCAUGACACCUUCGCCACCAUCUGGGCCGUGGCGCUGGCUUGCCCCGUCUUGGCCUAUAUCACGUUUGCCUUCGUCACCAGCCGCCGCCUCAGCGGCGACACCACCCCCAGAGCUGCCAGAGACCCAGGGCAGAAAGAGAAGGAGAAAAUCGAGGUGCUGAUGCUGCUGGCGACCUUCGCCGUCACCAUCUCAUACGCCGCCGGGCUGAACCCGCCUGGCGGCUUCUGGACCAGCACCCUGCAGCAGAAGGAUGGCCGCCUUCUUCACCUCGCCGGCGACCCGAUCAUGGAAGAUAGCGCGCUCCGGAGGUACCGGGCCUUCUUCGUCUGCAACACGACGGCGUUCGUCGCCUCCUUGUUCAUCAUCCCGCUCCUCCUGGACGAGAAGUUGAGCAGCAAAAUCUCAGCGCGGUUUCGGGCGGUCUACGGCUUCAUCGCCGUCGCCCUUUUAGGCCUGAUGGGGGCCUAUGCUGCUGGGAGCUGCAGGAAAACUGACAGUACCGUCAAGGUCAUCUUCCUGGCCGCUGCGGUUCCGGCUUGCGUGGGCCUUCAGCUGGCACUUAGUUAUGCUGCUCUCCAUUUGAAACCAAUCAAGGUCAUGCGUGCUUCGUUCUCUGAAUGGUUCGACCACGUAAGAGGCACUGGUCCUGCGGCUGCAGGUGAUGAGGAAUUGGGGAUAAGAUGCUUAUCUUUAUGUCAUGAUGCCAGUGCACUCGAGGACCCAGACCUGAAAAACACUCGCUAUUUUGUUAUGGUACUUGCUAGCUUUGCCGUGAGCAUCACUUACCAAGUAGGACGUACUGGAUCCACCAGGCGGCCUCUGGCAAGACAAGCUGAAUGGCCAUAA
Molecule: ribosomal RNA, 945 nt
Filed under: Triticum aestivum (bread wheat)
Lineage: Eukaryota; Viridiplantae; Streptophyta; Magnoliopsida; Poales; Poaceae
Description: partial small subunit ribosomal RNA
Source: RNAcentral